Molecule: ribosomal RNA, 563 nt
Filed under: uncultured bacterium
Lineage: Bacteria
Description: bacterial SSU rRNA
Rfam family: Bacterial small subunit ribosomal RNA
Source: RNAcentral
AGUCGAACGGACUUACAUUGAAGCCUAGCGAUAUGUAAGUUAGUGGCGGACGGGUGAGUAACGCGUGGGUAACCUGCCUUGUGCUGGGGGACAACAGUUGGAAACGACUGCUAAUACCGCAUAAGCGCACAGCUUCGCAUGAAGCAGUGUGAAAAACUCCGGUGGUACAAGAUGGACCCGCGUCUGAUUAGCUGGUUGGUGAGGUAACGGCCCACCAAGGCGACGAUCAGUAGCCGGCCUGAGAGGGUGAACGGCCACAUUGGGACUGAGACACGGCCCAAACUCCUACGGGAGGCAGCAGUGGGGAAUAUUGCACAAUGGGGGAAACCCUGAUGCAGCAACGCCGCGUGAGUGAAGAAGUAUUUCGGUAUGUAAAGCUCUAUCAGCAGGAAAGAAAAUGACGGUACCUGACUAAGAAGCCCCGGCUAACUACGUGCCAGCAGCCGCGGUAAUACGUAGGGGGCAAGCGUUAUCCGGAUUUACUGGGUGUAAAGGGAGCGUAGACGGUUUUGCAAGUCUGAAGUGAAAGCCCGGGGCUUAACCCCGGGAAUGCUUUGGAAACU